This 212-nucleotide unclassified non-coding RNA is filed under the name Hevea brasiliensis (rubber tree). Lineage: Eukaryota; Viridiplantae; Streptophyta; Magnoliopsida; Malpighiales; Euphorbiaceae. The record is from RNAcentral.
GCUGCACAUCUGAUCUCUGCGAUGCUCCUUGAAGUCCCCUACAUGGCUUCGAACUCUCAUGAUGCGAAGAGCAGGGUUAGCAGCAAGGCAUUCCUUUGGCUCCUCAAGAUGGGCGACCAGAAGACCUUCAUUGGCCCCCCUGAGAAUGUCAAAGAUCAUGUUUUGGCUGCAACGAGUGCCCUCAUCAAGGGAGACUAUGAUAAAGCUUUUCA